Molecule: ribosomal RNA, 1600 nt
Filed under: uncultured bacterium
Lineage: Bacteria
Description: bacterial SSU rRNA
Rfam family: Bacterial small subunit ribosomal RNA
Source: RNAcentral
UCUUUGGGAGAGUUCUUUCACGGAGGGUUUGAUCCUGGCUCAGAGCGAACGCUGGCGGCGUGGUUGAGGCAUGCAAGUCGAGCGAUUGUCUUGGCCUGAAGGGGUUGAAGUCGCAAGACGGAUGUCCCAGAGGAUCAGGACGAUAGCGGCAAACGGGUGCGUAACACAUGGGUAAUCUACCCUGAAGCGGGGGAUAACGUUCCGAAAGGGACGCUAAUACCGCGUAAGCUCACCGGACCGCAAGGUCCAGGGAGAAAAGCCGGGGAUCCGCAAGGACCUGGCGCUUCGGGAGGAGCCCGUGGCCUAUCAGCUAGUUGGCGGGGUAACGGCCCACCAAGGCGUAUGACGGGUAGCUGGCCUGAGAGGGUGGUCAGCCACACUGGGACUGAGACACUGCCCAGACUCCUACGGGAGGCUGCAGUCGAGGAUCUUCUCCAAUGGGCGCAAGCCUGAGAAUGCGACGCCGCGUGCGGGAUGAAGGCCUUCGGGUCGUAAACCGCUGUCAGGAGGGAAGAAUACCUGGCCCGUGAAUAACGGGCUCGGUUGACGGUACCUCUAGAGGAAGCCACGGCUAACUCCGUGCCAGCAGCCGCGGUAAGACGGAGGUGGCGAGCGUUGCUCGGAUUCAUUGGGUGUAAAGGGUUGGUAGGCGGCUCCGCACGUCUCGUUUGAAAUCCUGGAGCUUAACUCCAGAACUGGGCGAGAUACGACGGGGCUCGAGGACCAGAGGGGCAGACGGAAUUCCCGGUGUAAGGGUGAAAUCUGUAGAGAUCGGGAGGAACACCAGUGGCGAAGGCGGUCUGCUGGCUGGUUUCUGACGCUGAGCAACGAAAGCGUGGGGAGCAAACAGGAUUAGAUACCCUGGUAGUCCACGCUGUAAACGUUGAGGACUAGGUGUGGGUCCCCUCUGGGGAUCCGUGCCGACGCUAACGCAUGAAGUCCUCCACCUGGGGAGUACGUCCGCAAGGAUGAAACUCAAAGGAAUUGACGGGGGCCCGCACAAGCGGUGGAACAUGUGGUUCAAUUCGACGCUACGCGAAGAACCUUACCUAGGUUUGACAUGCGAGAAGUAGGGAACUGAAAGGGGACCGACUCGUUAAGUCGAGAGCUCGCACAGGUGGUGCAUGGCUGUCGUCAGCUCGUGCUGUGAAGUGUUGGGUUAAGUCCCGCAACGAGCGCAACCCUCGCCCUUAGUUGCCACCCGGCCGCAAGGCCGGCGCACUCUAGGGGGACCGCCGGUGAUGAACUGGAGGAAGGUGGGGAUGACGUCAAGUCAGUACGCUCCUUAUGCCUAGGGCUACACACGUGUUACAAUGGCGCAUACAGAGGGUUGCCAACCCGCGAGGGGGAGCUAAUCCCACAAAGUGCGCCUCAGUUCAGAUUGGAGGCUGCAAUUCGCCUCCAUGAAGUCGGAAUCGCUAGUAACGGCGGAUCAGCUACGCCGCCGUGAAUACGUUCCCGGGCCUUGUACACACCGCCCGUCAAGCCACCUGAGUUGGUUGCACCCGAAGCCGGUAGCUCAACCCGCAAGGGAGGGCGCCGUCGAAGGUGCGGCUGGUAAGGGGGGCUAAGUCGUAACAAGGCAGCCGUACCGGAAGGG